This 117-nucleotide non-coding RNA is filed under the name Nomascus leucogenys (northern white-cheeked gibbon). The record is from Rfam by way of RNAcentral. Lineage: Eukaryota; Metazoa; Chordata; Mammalia; Primates; Hylobatidae.
GCCGGGUGUGGUGGCUCACACCUGUAAUCCCAGCACUUUGGGAGGCUGAGGUGGGCGGAUCACCUGAGGUCGGGAGUUCAAGACCAGCCUGACCAACAUGGAGAAAUCCCAUCUCUA